UGUUGGCUGGCGUGCUUUACACAUGCAGUCGAACGCUGAAGCCGACAGCUUGCUGUUGGUGGAUGAGUGGCGAACGGGUGAGUAACACGUGAGUAACCUGCCCCUGAUUUCGGGAUAAGCCUGGGAAACUGGGUCUAAUACCGGAUAUGACCUCCUGACGCAUGUUGGGUGGUGGAAAGUUUUUCGAUCGGGGAUGGGCUCGCGGCCUAUCAGCUUGUUGGUGGGGUAAUGGCCUACCAAGGCGACGACGGGUAGCCGGCCUGAGAGGGCGACCGGCCACACUGGGACUGAGACACGGCCCAGACUCCUACGGGAGGCAGCAGUGGGGAAUAUUGCACAAUGGGGGAAACCCUGAUGCAGCGACGCAGCGUGCGGGAUGACGGCCUUCGGGUUGUAAACCGCUUUCAGCAGGGAAGAAGCGAAAGUGACGGUACCUGCAGAAGAAGUACCGGCUAACUACGUGCCAGCAGCCGCGGUAAUACGUAGGGUACGAGCGUUGUCCGGAAUUAUUGGGCGUAAAGAGCUCGUAGGUGGUUGGUCACGUCUGCUGUGGAAACGCAACGCUUAACGUUGCGCGUGCAGUGGGUACGGGCUGACUAGAGUGCAGUAGGGGAGUCUGGAAUUCCUGGUGUAGCGGUGAAAUGCGCAGAUAUCAGGAGGAACACCGGUGGCGAAGGCGGGACUCUGGGCUGUAACUGACACUGAGGAGCGAAAGCAUGGGGAGCGAACAGGAUUAGAUACCCUGGUAGUCCAUGCCGUAAACGUUGGGCACUAGGUGUGGGGGACAUUCCACGUUCUCCGCGCCGUAGCUAACGCAUUAAGUGCCCCGCCUGGGGAGUACGGUCGCAAGGCUAAAACUCAAGGAAUUGACGGGGGCCCGCACAAGCGGCGGAGCAUGCGGAUUAAUUCGAUGCAACGCGAAGAACCUUACCAAGGCUUGACAUAACACUGGACCGUUCUGGAAACAGUUCUUCUCUUUGGAGCUGGUGUACAGGUGGUG
RNAcentral lists this ribosomal RNA (1000 nucleotides) under Brevibacterium sp. HBUM178303. RNAcentral's name for it is "bacterial SSU rRNA". It matches the Rfam family "Bacterial small subunit ribosomal RNA", at positions 34 to 1043 of the family's 1533-position model. Lineage: Bacteria; Bacillati; Actinomycetota; Actinomycetes; Micrococcales; Brevibacteriaceae. The record is from RNAcentral.